GGCCCCUAAACAAAUAUAUAUUUUUUAAUGUUAUAUUUCACAUGUCUAUAAUAGGGGAGGUUUGGCAUGCCCAAAACCAGGUUCAACCCACCAUUUUUUCCUUUAAAAAUGUCCUGUACCAAGUCAGAAAUAUGGCCAUUGUUAUAUUAUAGUUCGUUUCUGUGUUUGUUUCAAUUUAACGUUGCGUCGUUUGUUUUCUCUUAUUUUUUAGUAUAAAUUGGCAUUGCGAUAAGACGUGUCACGGUACUUG
This 250-nucleotide long non-coding RNA is filed under the name Mytilus galloprovincialis (Mediterranean mussel). The record is from RNAcentral. Lineage: Eukaryota; Metazoa; Mollusca; Bivalvia; Mytilida; Mytilidae.